UAUGUGAUCGUCUCUCGCAUAUCAAUAAGCGGAGGAAAAGAAACUAACAAGGAUUCCCCUAGUAACGGCGAGUGAAGCGGGAAGAGCUCAAAUUUGAAAUCUUAAAGGGUUUCCCUUUACGAAUUGUAGUUUAAAGAAGUGUUUUCUGUUGAGGUUUUGGUAAAAGUUCUUUGGAAUAGGACAUCAUAGAGGGUGAGAAUCCCGUAUUUGACCUUUACUUUCAACUUUGUGAUACACUUUCAAAGAGUCGGAUUGUUUGGGAAUGCAAUCCAAAAUGGGUGGUAAAUUUCAUCUAAAGCUAAAUAUUGGCGAGAGACCGAUAGCGAACAAGUACCGUGAGGGAAAGAUGAAAAGAACUUUGAAAAGAGAGUUAAACAGUACUGUGAAAUUGUCAAAAGGGAAGCGUUUGACACCAGUGUUGUUUUUCUGAAAAUCAAUUAAAGAACUGUUUAUGCUAAGCUGUUUAGACUUUAUCAGCUAUCUGUUUAGUUUUGAGCUUUUCUUUAAUGCACUUUUCAGUUAACAAGUCAACAUCAAUUUCUUUUGCUGUAAAAAAGCUUGAGGAAGGUGGCUUGAGAUUCGUCUUAAGUGUUUAUAGCCUCUUGCCUAUGCAGUCCGGAGAGAUUGAGGUCUGCAGCGUAGAUCCUUCGGGGCUAAAUGCAUUUGUGCUAAGUUAUAACAUUUUAUAGACAACUUGUUGACUAUGAUUUGUCUUGUAGCUUACUCGCUUAUGUUAUUUUACCUACGCUUAGGAUGUUGAAGUCAUCGUAUCGCGC
This 776-nucleotide ribosomal RNA is filed under the name uncultured Neocallimastigales. Its description in RNAcentral is "partial large subunit ribosomal RNA". It matches the Rfam family "Eukaryotic large subunit ribosomal RNA", at positions 24 to 645 of the family's 3401-position model. The record is from RNAcentral. Lineage: Eukaryota; Fungi; Neocallimastigomycota; Neocallimastigomycetes; Neocallimastigales.